RNAcentral lists this ribosomal RNA (1536 nucleotides) under Klebsiella variicola. Its description in RNAcentral is "bacterial SSU rRNA". The record is from RNAcentral. Lineage: Bacteria; Pseudomonadati; Pseudomonadota; Gammaproteobacteria; Enterobacterales; Enterobacteriaceae.
UUGAAGAGUUUGAUCAUGGCUCAGAUUGAACGCUGGCGGCAGGCCUAACACAUGCAAGUCGAGCGGUAGCACAGAGAGCUUGCUCUCGGGUGACGAGCGGCGGACGGGUGAGUAAUGUCUGGGAAACUGCCUGAUGGAGGGGGAUAACUACUGGAAACGGUAGCUAAUACCGCAUAACGUCGCAAGACCAAAGUGGGGGACCUUCGGGCCUCAUGCCAUCAGAUGUGCCCAGAUGGGAUUAGCUAGUAGGUGGGGUAACGGCUCACCUAGGCGACGAUCCCUAGCUGGUCUGAGAGGAUGACCAGCCACACUGGAACUGAGACACGGUCCAGACUCCUACGGGAGGCAGCAGUGGGGAAUAUUGCACAAUGGGCGCAAGCCUGAUGCAGCCAUGCCGCGUGUGUGAAGAAGGCCUUCGGGUUGUAAAGCACUUUCAGCGGGGAGGAAGGCGRURAGGUUAAUAACCUYRYCGAUUGACGUUACCCGCAGAAGAAGCACCGGCUAACUCCGUGCCAGCAGCCGCGGUAAUACGGAGGGUGCAAGCGUUAAUCGGAAUUACUGGGCGUAAAGCGCACGCAGGCGGUCUGUCAAGUCGGAUGUGAAAUCCCCGGGCUCAACCUGGGAACUGCAUUCGAAACUGGCAGGCUAGAGUCUUGUAGAGGGGGGUAGAAUUCCAGGUGUAGCGGUGAAAUGCGUAGAGAUCUGGAGGAAUACCGGUGGCGAAGGCGGCCCCCUGGACAAAGACUGACGCUCAGGUGCGAAAGCGUGGGGAGCAAACAGGAUUAGAUACCCUGGUAGUCCACGCUGUAAACGAUGUCGAUUUGGAGGUUGUGCCCUUGAGGCGUGGCUUCCGGAGCUAACGCGUUAAAUCGACCGCCUGGGGAGUACGGCCGCAAGGUUAAAACUCAAAUGAAUUGACGGGGGCCCGCACAAGCGGUGGAGCAUGUGGUUUAAUUCGAUGCAACGCGAAGAACCUUACCUGGUCUUGACAUCCACAGAACUUUCCAGAGAUGGAUUGGUGCCUUCGGGAACUGUGAGACAGGUGCUGCAUGGCUGUCGUCAGCUCGUGUUGUGAAAUGUUGGGUUAAGUCCCGCAACGAGCGCAACCCUUAUCCUUUGUUGCCAGCGGUUAGGCCGGGAACUCAAAGGAGACUGCCAGUGAUAAACUGGAGGAAGGUGGGGAUGACGUCAAGUCAUCAUGGCCCUUACGACCAGGGCUACACACGUGCUACAAUGGCAUAUACAAAGAGAAGCGACCUCGCGAGAGCAAGCGGACCUCAUAAAGUAUGUCGUAGUCCGGAUUGGAGUCUGCAACUCGACUCCAUGAAGUCGGAAUCGCUAGUAAUCGUAGAUCAGAAUGCUACGGUGAAUACGUUCCCGGGCCUUGUACACACCGCCCGUCACACCAUGGGAGURGGUUGCAAAAGAAGUAGGUAGCUUAACCUUCGGGAGGGCGCUUACCACUUUGUGAUUCAUGACUGGGGUGAAGUCGUAACAAGGUAACCGUAGGGGAACCUGCGGUUGGAUCACCUCCUU